Molecule: ribosomal RNA, 253 nt
Filed under: uncultured bacterium
Lineage: Bacteria
Description: partial 16S ribosomal RNA
Rfam family: Bacterial small subunit ribosomal RNA
Source: RNAcentral
GACGUAGGGCGCGAGCGUUGUCCGGAUUUAUUGGGCGUAAAGAGCUCGUAGGCGGCUUGUCGCGUCGACUGUGAAAACCCGCGGCUCAACCGCGGGCUUGCAGUCGAUACGGGCAGGCUAGAGUUUGGUAGGGGAGACUGGAAUUCCUGGUGUAGCGGUGGAAUGCGCAGAUAUCAGGAGGAACACCGGUGGCGAAGGCGGGUCUCUGGGCAGUAACUGACGCUGAGGAGCGAAAGCGUGGGGAGCGAACAGG